AUACACUACCAUUCAAACGUUUAAGGGUCAGAUUGAUCAUGUAUUUAAAAGAAAUAUUUUAUGCUCACUACUGCUGCAUUUAUUUGAUUAAAAUACAGUAAAAUAGUAAUAUUUGAAAUUACUAGGGGUGUCCUCGACUAAGGUUUUUCAUAGUCAAAUCAGAAUUUUCGAAUCUUGCUAAUAUUCGACUGAUAGUCUAAUCAUAUAUUUGGGGGCAGAAUGCAUUGAGUCAAGUCAGACAUUCGACAGUCAUAAUUACUGAUCUUAACACACAGGUAAAAUGUGUAAUGAACACCUCGCAGAUACAAACGGGGUAAAUAAUAGUUCAUCAUUGAUAGAUCUUUUCUAUUUCAGACUGAAAAUCAUUGAUAAACCACAAGCUCCAACCCCAAUUAAGCAGACCUGAGCAGCUGAUCAAGGAUCACCAGAAACUCCGCAGAACGUUGGUCCUCCAGCCCAGGACUGGACACCAGUGUUAUGCUGGAGAAAAAACAGCAAGGCUAAAGCAUUCAAAGUGGAAACAUCUACCGUGGCUCAUUAAUCCAGAAUUGGGAUGGAGGAAGGAUCAGAAGAAGCAGAAGAACAGAGAUCAGGCAGAAAUCUACUGGUGCCUCUGUGGGAACCCAUUUACCUAAUUUGUUAGAUAAACGAAAGAUUUUCCUCACUCAUCUUUAUGUUUUUCCA
Long non-coding RNA from Carassius carassius (crucian carp), 684 nucleotides. RefSeq lists it as uncharacterized. NCBI's taxonomy places the organism in Eukaryota, Metazoa, Chordata, Actinopteri, Cypriniformes, Cyprinidae. The record is from RefSeq and is a predicted model, not a curated record. The transcript has 3 exons.